Apodemus sylvaticus (European woodmouse) is the source of this 325-nucleotide long non-coding RNA. RefSeq lists it as uncharacterized. The transcript is spliced from 3 exons. Lineage: Eukaryota; Metazoa; Chordata; Mammalia; Rodentia; Muridae. The record is from RefSeq and is a predicted model, not a curated record.
AUGCUGCCUGGAACAGGAACAUUCCGUAGCUCGAGCAUCACUGCUUCAUGGAGGGAGCAGGCGGGCUGGUGUCCCCCGUUCCUUCAGGAGGAUGUGUUCUGAGUGGGAGCAGCUUCCUGCACUGAGGGAGCAGUGUUUCAUACUGAAUGAGUGUCUUCCAGCGUUUGGUGGCACUUCUGACAGCAGUAGAGGAGAUGGGGCAUGCUUGGCAGAUCCCUGGAGAAUCUUGUGUGCACACAUCAAUCUGGCAUCUCCAGCUGCCAGAAGCCCUGCUGCCUUGUCCUUUACUGAGAACCCCUGGGGAGGUCUCGGGAGCCUGUGGAAG